UCCCAGGGCUUUUACAGUUUUCCUCAGCGU
RNAcentral lists this non-coding RNA (30 nucleotides) under Mus musculus (house mouse). Lineage: Eukaryota; Metazoa; Chordata; Mammalia; Rodentia; Muridae. The record is from RNAcentral.